Molecule: long non-coding RNA, 2016 nt
Organism: Crotalus tigris (Tiger rattlesnake)
Lineage: Eukaryota; Metazoa; Chordata; Lepidosauria; Squamata; Viperidae
Exons: 2
Source: RefSeq, a predicted model, not a curated record
GAGAGAGAGAGAGAAAAUGGGGAUCACAAAAAGCCAUUGGACACAAUAAAUCAGAUUUCUUAAGUAGGGGAAAUUCCGGGCAGUAGAUGCUGGUUUCAAAUUCGUGUGUGUGUGUGUGUGUGUGUGUGUGUGUGUGUUGUUGUUGGUGGUCUUCCACAAACUUGUCCCUGGACUUUUAAUUUUACAGGCUCUAGCAAGCAUUGCUAGAGGAUAGGGAUCAUGGGCUGCUAAGCACAGUGGCGGUUAAGUAAGUCACGGCCAAUUCUGCAAUCUUUUUUUUUUUUUUUUUGGCCAGGGAUGUGAAGCAAAUCACUUUGGUUGUUGUGAAAUGGGCAAUCAUUAAGUGCACCUGCUUUGCCUGUUCCUUGUUGGAAGCCAGCUGGGACGGUUGCAAAUGGUGAUCAACUGGACCCUGGGAUGGUGCAAGAGUCCUAAGUGCAAGGGCUGAUUGCGCUUUGGAAAAUACGGUUGUUCAGAUGCAUUGCCUGGUUUUCGUCCUAACUUAACGCUAAAGCAGAGGCGCAAAAUAUUAUGCGUGGCUGGAAGUUUUCUAAUGGAUAAUCAACCCAUCAGAUCUCCUGCAUGUUGGUGUGAAACUGGGAUGUUAUUCCUUUGUGCACCUCAGUCCACUUUUGCUGAUGAAUCUCAUUGGGCGCUGCUUUCCACGCUAACCAGUUUGGUGAGAUCUUUCGUCUCUUCCUAAAUAUAACUUUAAAACUUGGCUCUGACCUUAUUUGCAAAUAUUAAACAGCCUUGAUUCUACCACUAUAUACUAAUCUCAAACGGAGAAAGUUGUCCAAUUAAUCUCACCUUUAACCUGUAUUCUUUAAUAAGUGACUAAACUUAUCAGGAAGUUAUGCAACAAGAGCAACAAAAUUGUAGACAUAAGGACUUCUCAUUGAUAUGUGUGUCUGUGUAUGUGUGGGUGUGUGAUGAAACUUUAGGGAAGUCUCAGUAAAAGAUGACCGUAUCUCAUUGGAAUUAUCCACACAUAACCAUUUAUAAGCAACUUGCUCCUAAGUGGGAAGGAACAUCAAAUUUUCAAUUAACUAAGUAAUUGGAGUUUUAAAUUUGUCUCUUUAAAGUAGUAGCUAAUUUACUAGACUGGAAAUCUUCUCCUAAAAAGUAUUAGACUGGUCUGGAAUUUAGUAGGUUUCGAUGGUGCAAUUAUAUUAGGAUGUAUGUUGGGGCAUUAAAUCUUAAUUUAAUUGCCAUUUGGGAAUCAAAUAAAGCAUUAAUUUUUCAAGUGUUGAAUAAUAGUAUUUUCACAACACCUACCUAAAUUAUAUUGUUUAUAGCUAUAGGAAACCUCCCAAAAUUAAUCCCAUUUUACAGAUUAUGUUCCAGAUUUACAGUUUAUGUUCCUAACCAAUCCAUGGGGCACCCACUAAGUCAAUAAAGUUAGCUGAAAAACAGAAAUAUUUGAAUUUAUCUUUGGAAUAUGGUGAAGGUCAAAAUUCACUAGGAGAAGAUUCAACCCUUUCUCAAAUCUUACAUUUCGAUCCAGUUAGAGAGGAAAUUAAAUCUCUGAAUCUGGACUGAGCGUUUAUUAGAAAGACUUGAUUUUUAUACAAAGGGUAGGAUUGACUUCCAAGUAUUAUCAUCCUUCAUCUGAAAAGAAAAGCGGCUGCGGCAGAUUGCAACCAGAGAAUAUUAAAUGAAAACAGAGAAUGUGAUAAGGAGAAUAAAGGGGAAGUAGAUGAAAGCAUCCAGGUGAUAAAUGUUCCAGGGGAAUCCCAAGGCACAUUGAAACGCACCGCUCUUAAAGAUACAGAUGGUGGGCAAUCAGAGUUAAAGAGCAGUUUCCCAGCAAAGGGUGCAGAACCACAGGUGUGGACGGGUAAUUCCUUGGAUUUAUCCUGUCUGAAGCAGUUGGCACCAGCAACAUUCCAGGCACUGUUGACUAAAUAUUGAUAAAAAUAUAGAGCAUUUCUCCAGGAUAUACCUCCGCCCUCUGAAUCGACGGCUUUUCUGGAGACAAAAAAAAAAAGUGAUUUUCCACUAUUAGAGGAGGGC